Molecule: long non-coding RNA, 760 nt
Organism: Homo sapiens (human)
Lineage: Eukaryota; Metazoa; Chordata; Mammalia; Primates; Hominidae
Source: Ensembl
CUGGGAUUACAGGUGUGAACCACCGUGCUCAGCCACUAAUCUUGAUGUCAAUCCUUAGAGGGAUCAGGAAGCAGGAGCAAUGGACAGGCAAGAGACACUGCUGAGGUGCCCUGUACCUUCUCCAGAUGGCCUCCCUCUUCUCCUCUGAGACACAGUGCAAUAAUACCGUAUGGAUAGAAAGUCUGAGGCAGCAUCAUGGAAGCUGAGUCCCCAGAACCUGGGAAGGCUGGGAAGAAUGAUGGAGAGAGAAGAGCAAGGAAAGAGAGAGGGGAAGAGUCUCCAUGCUGCAGACACAACCUGCUUAUUAGGUCAAUAGUAGGCCACCCUGCGUCAUGAUGCCUUUCUCAUUCACCUUACUUCAUCACAUCACAUCACAUAGGCAUGGUAUCUUCUCACAUCAUCAAAAAAGGAUCACGAUGCCUCCUGAGCUGACUUCAUUCUGUUCUUAUCACUAAUCACCCAGCAUCACGUAAAUCUCAAAUCGAGAUGGGUUCAGGAGAUUAGAUAUGAUGAAGUCGAAUAAACAUACCCUUGAGUCCAAAAGGAAAAGAUAUUUAAAUUUAAGGAACACUGCAGAAAGCAUCUUUCUUCCAAAGACAUAGCAAAUGUAAGAUAUAGAAGACAGCCUCUCCCCGACUUCCAGCCCCAGCUUUCCAACCGAUAUUGCUUUACCACAGCAGCCAACCCAGGCAACUGCUGACGGAGUGGGCAUACUGGUUGUAUGCCUUGGCUCUCUGUUCACAAUCCUGAAGGGAUAGAA